Molecule: long non-coding RNA, 336 nt
Filed under: Mytilus galloprovincialis (Mediterranean mussel)
Lineage: Eukaryota; Metazoa; Mollusca; Bivalvia; Mytilida; Mytilidae
Source: RNAcentral
UUUGUUUUAUAACUAACUUGUACCUUGUUUCAAUUGCAGUUCUUUUAAUUUUUUUAGGUAUUUGAGGAUCCCCAUUUUGGAUAAAUUCUUCACAACCCUAGGUGCUGUUCAUGUGUGUAUACAAUUAUACGAGAAAGGGGUACAACAAUAUUGAUUUGCAAAAAAAAAAAAUAGACGUUCGCCUAAACCAUUCAUCUUACCCUAACCAGAAAUAACACUGAAUGUAAAUGGUAUGUAUUAUACUUUUGGUUACAGUGUUUAUAUCAUUGUUAUAUUUUCAAGGUAGUCCAUUUUUGUCGAGCCUUCGAAUUUCGUCGAAAAAGCGAGACAUAGCGA